RNAcentral lists this non-coding RNA (32 nucleotides) under Homo sapiens (human). The record is from RNAcentral. Lineage: Eukaryota; Metazoa; Chordata; Mammalia; Primates; Hominidae.
ACUGCUCUGUGAAACUGUGCCCGGUCAGCCUA